GUGGGGAAUUUUGGACAAUGGGCGCAAGCCUGAUCCAGCAAUGCCGCGUGCAGGAAGAAGGCCUUCGGGUUGUAAACUGCUUUUGUACGGAACGAAACGGUCCGGGUUAAUACCCUGGGCUAAUGACGGUACCGUAAGAAUAAGCACCGGCUAACUACGUGCCAGCAGCCGCGGUAAUACGUAGGGUGCAAGCGUUAAUCGGAAUUACUGGGCGUCAAGCGUGCGCAGGCGGUUUUGUAAGACAGGCGUGAAAUCCCCGGGCUCAACCUGGGAAUUGCGCUUGUGACUGCAAGGCUGGAGUGCGGCAGAGGGGGAUGGAAUUCCGCGUGUAGCAGUGAAAUGCGUAGAUAUGCGGAGGAACACCGAUGGCGAAGGCAAUCCCCUGGGCCUGCACUGACGCUCAUGCACGAAAGCGUGGGGAGCAAACAGGAUUAGAAACCCGGGUAGUCC
RNAcentral lists this ribosomal RNA (450 nucleotides) under uncultured bacterium. RNAcentral's name for it is "partial 16S ribosomal RNA". It matches the Rfam family "Bacterial small subunit ribosomal RNA", at positions 354 to 796 of the family's 1533-position model. The record is from RNAcentral.